RNAcentral lists this ribosomal RNA (423 nucleotides) under uncultured bacterium. RNAcentral describes it as "bacterial SSU rRNA". It matches the Rfam family "Bacterial small subunit ribosomal RNA", at positions 355 to 775 of the family's 1533-position model. The record is from RNAcentral.
UAGGGAAUCUUCCGCAAUGGACGAAAGUCUGACGGAGCAACGCCGCGUGAGUGAGGAAGGUCUUCGGAUCGUAAAACUCUGUUGUCAGGGAAGAACCGCCGGGAUGACCUCCCGGUCUGACGGUACCUGACGAGAAAGCCCCGGCUAACUACGUGCCAGCAGCCGCGGUAAUACGUAGGGGGCAAGCGUUGUCCGGAAUUAUUGGGCGUAAAGCGCGCGCAGGCGGCUUCUUAAGUCAGGUGUGAAAGCCCACGGCUCAACCGUGGAGGGCCAUCUGAAACUGGGGAGCUUGAGUGCAGGAGAGGAGAGCGGAAUUCCACGUGUAGCGGUGAAAUGCGUAGAGAUGUGGAGGAACACCAGUGGCGAAGGCGGCUCUCUGGCCUGUAACUGACGCUGAGGCGCGAAAGCGUGGGGAGCAAACAG